Long non-coding RNA from Penaeus monodon (black tiger shrimp), 505 nucleotides. RefSeq lists it as uncharacterized. The transcript has 3 exons. The record is from RefSeq and is a predicted model, not a curated record. NCBI's taxonomy places the organism in Eukaryota, Metazoa, Arthropoda, Malacostraca, Decapoda, Penaeidae.
UCUUUUCAUAUAUUUAUGGGCGGAAUUAGCCAACAAAAAGUUUUAAAUAUUGACUUUUCUUUUCUUUAUUUUUUUUCUUUUCUUUUACGGUCUGAAUUAUGGUCCAUGGGUCGUAAUUCUUACCAAAAUAUCAUAAAAAAUAUUCUACAACCAUUUCAACUCUACAAAGGAAUUAAAAAACUGAGCUCUGAUGCCCUGAUCCAGUGAUCUUCCAACCCUUGCUUGCUUGAGAUUUGCGAAGUUCUAGCUUCGCCCGGGCCUUUCACUUAUGGCCCGGCACUUCCAACCCAUGUGACAAAUUUUGAGGAGGUGGACAGUACUGAAGGAAAUGUAAACAAAGAACCGAGAUGUGGCCAUUGGAAGAUUAUGAAGGAAUGGAGAACUGAGUGGCAAUUCCAUGUAAGGAUUAUGUAUAAUUACAUAAUCCUUGUAUGAAAACAGAUUCAUUCAAUACUGAGUAUUAAAGGCCCAUCAUAGGAGUGCAAGACUGACUGGAGCCACUGGA